CCUACGGGAGGCAGCAGUGGGGAAUCUUGCGCAAUGGGCGAAAGCCUGACGCAGCCAUGCCGCGUGAAUGAUGAAGGUCUUAGGAUUGUAAAAUUCUUUCACCGGGGACGAUAAUGACGGUACCCGGAGAAGAAGCCCCGGCUAACUUCGUGCCAGCAGCCGCGGUAAUACGAAGGGGGCUAGCGUUGCUCGGAAUUACUGGGCGUAAAGGGAGCGUAGGCGGAUAGUUUAGUCAGAGGUGAAAGCCCAGGGCUCAACCUUGGAAUUGCCUUUGAUACUGGCUAUCUUGAGUUUGGGAGAGGUGAGUGGAACUCCGAGUGUAGAGGUGAAAUUCGUAGAUAUUCGGAAGAACACCAGUGGCGAAGGCGACUCACUGGCCCAAUACUGACGCUGAGGCUCGAAAGCGUGGGGAGCAAACAGGAUUAGAUACCCUGGUAGUCCACGCCGUAAACGAUAGAGUGCUAGUUGUCGGCAUGCAUGCAUGUCGGUGACGCAGCUACGACAUAAGUACACGUCCGCCGUCGGGAGGUACGGUACGCGAAGAAGUUAAACGUACUAAGUUAGUUAAGUUAGUUACGGACGUGAGACGUUGCCGACGGACGACGACGAGGGAGAGG
RNAcentral lists this ribosomal RNA (617 nucleotides) under uncultured bacterium. RNAcentral's name for it is "bacterial SSU rRNA". The stretch from base 1 to 520 matches the Rfam family "Bacterial small subunit ribosomal RNA", at positions 338 to 873 of the family's 1533-position model. The record is from RNAcentral.